AUGGUUCCCCCUGGCUGCAAUGAGAAGCCUUCAGAGGUUCUAGGGGUCACAUGGGACUUGGAAGACCGCUGGAGUGUUCCCAGGCAUACUGCCUCCUCUAGGAGCCAAGGAAACACAGGAAAGGCGCCACAGGACACGAAGGGUGUUUCAGUGACAUCUCUGACGGUGUUCCUGUGCUGGAGCUGCUGGGAAUGGGGAAGGCCGAGGAGGGAGCCGGAGCAAGUGCUGGGACAGAACAGUGCCAGUUUCCCAGAAGCUGGAGUCCCUGGUUUCUAAUUUCCCAGGACAGCUGGGCCUGUUGAAAUUCGGAGAAGGAACACAUGAAAGAGGAAUGGAGAGCCUUGUGCUCAUGACUCAGAGAUGCCCAGAGGAGGGUGGGAGCCUUGUGAGGGGAUGACCUUGUGAUGAGAGGGAACAAGAACAAAAGCUGGAGGCAGAACUUUGAGAUGGGGGUGUCAGAGGGGCUUUUCUGAAAUGGGAAAGUGAGGACAUGGGCAGAUUUUGCAACACCACCCCGCCUGCUGUCUUCUCAAGUCUCGGCUCCCCAAACCCCGCCUGUUCCCCCUGCCCCACCCUGUGCUUCCUCCCAUCUUUCACCAAGCUCCUGUUCUAUUUCUGCUUUCCCUGUCCUUCUCCCAUCCUGCUCCCCACACCCCCUGUACACUCUUUCCCUGUUCCCUCUGUCCUCUUCCCUGGUACCCUAUUCAUUUCUGUUUCAGUCACUCUGGCUGCCUGCCCUGGCCCCUGUCCUAUGCUUUAAUGUGGGGCCCAUGGGAACUGGAGUUCACAGCAAAACAGGAAGAGUCUGUGAGCAGGAAGCUGGGAGUGGGGCAUGGGGUGAACAGUCAGCAGUAACCUCAGCUCCUCGCUUCCCACAUCUGGACUGAAGCAUCCCCAGAGCACUCUGCCUCUCCCACUGCAGCCCCCCAGCCCUGGUUUCCUCCAUUUCAGCGCUUCACUGGUCCAGCAGACCUGAGAGGCAACCAGACAAGAGUAUCCUAGACUCUGGCACAGGAGAAAGAGUACAGGGACUGGAGUGAGGACAUCUGGGUUCUCAUCCCAGCUUGGCCCCUGUGUGUGGCCUUCUGGAAGCCCCUCCCACAAGCUUAGUCUUCUCUCUAAGAUGGAGCUUGUGUUGUUGACCCUCUCUCCUGGGGCUGCUCUAAGAACCAAAGAGGUAGUGAGGGGGUUGGAUGUGGAAAUAAGCACUGGCAGGUUAACAGUGCACAGAUUCAAGGUGAUGGGAAGUCCCAUAGUUGAAAGGAUUGCAAAUGUCGUAACUGCUACCAUUUAUUGAACACUUAACUAAGAUCACACAGCUAAUAAAAGACAAAGGCAAGGUCAGGAUUUGAACCCAAAAACCUGAGCCCAGAGCCCCAAAUCAAUAUGCUGAGAUGAAAUUGACUGGAGCAUCAAGUAUAGGAUAGAAGGGGGUCAUAUUAUUUUUCUUGUUUACUUACUCAUUUAACAAGCAGAAACACAGUACCUACUCUGUUGCCUGCUCUAUGCCAGGCCCUGAUCCAUGGGCUACAUGGGAGAUAAAGUCAAUAAAACAUGGUGCCUACCUUCAGGGAUGGAGCUUACGUUCCAGGCAAUAGGACAGGGGGACUAAGUCUAUCAUCUCAGUAGUUUCUGGACAGAGGCUGCCAUCACUUCAGAUGGAGCUGUUCCCCAGAUGAUGGAACGUGCAUACCUUCCCAAGUCAUCCUGGGCUGGCACCUGGGUCACUUGCCAUCUCUACCUCCACCCCUAUCAAAGGCCUGUCAUUGCUCCU
Long non-coding RNA from Rhinolophus ferrumequinum (greater horseshoe bat), 1774 nucleotides. The record is from Ensembl. Lineage: Eukaryota; Metazoa; Chordata; Mammalia; Chiroptera; Rhinolophidae.